AUACGUAGGGGGCGAGCGUUGUCCGGAAUGAUUGGGCGUAAAGGGCGCGUAGGCGGCCCGGUAAGUCUGGAGUGAAAGUCCUGUUUUUAAGAUGGGAAUUGCUUUGGAUACUGUCGGGCUUGAGUGCAGGAGAGGUAAGUGGAAUUCCCAGUGUAGCGGUGAAAUGCGUAGAGAUUGGGAGGAACACCAGUGGCGAAGGCGACUUACUGGACUGUAACUGACGCUGAGGCGCGAAAGUGUGGGGAGCAAACAGGAUUAGAUACCCUGGUAGUCCACACUGUAAACGAUGAAUGCUAGGUGUAGGGGGUAUCGACCCCUUCUGUGCCGCAGUCAACACAAUAAGCAUUCCGCCUGGGGAGUACGGCCGCAAGGUUGAAACUCAAAGGA
Molecule: ribosomal RNA, 387 nt
Filed under: uncultured bacterium
Lineage: Bacteria
Description: partial 16S ribosomal RNA
Rfam family: Bacterial small subunit ribosomal RNA
Source: RNAcentral